CGUAGGUGGUUAGAUCAGUCGGAUGUGAAAGCCCAGGGCUCAACCUUGGAAUUGCAUCCGAUACUGUCUGACUAGAGUAUGGUAGAGGGAAGUGGAAUUUCCGGUGUAGCGGUGAAAUGCGUAGAUAUCGGAAAGAACACCAGUGGCGAAGGCGACUUCCUGGACCAAUACUGACACUGAGGUGCGAAAGCGUGGGGAGCAAACA
Molecule: ribosomal RNA, 205 nt
Filed under: uncultured bacterium
Lineage: Bacteria
Description: partial 16S ribosomal RNA
Rfam family: Bacterial small subunit ribosomal RNA
Source: RNAcentral